Long non-coding RNA from Dendroctonus ponderosae (mountain pine beetle), 337 nucleotides. RefSeq lists it as uncharacterized. The transcript is spliced from 2 exons. Lineage: Eukaryota; Metazoa; Arthropoda; Insecta; Coleoptera; Curculionidae. The record is from RefSeq and is a predicted model, not a curated record.
AGAGAGAAAAGGAGAGACGAUUUGAGAAAUAUAUACAAACAACGUUGGCAUGGAAACGACGUUUAACCUCCAAAAGCUGACGUCAAUUUUGAAGUGUCCAAAAAUGUUUAAUUUUAGUUCCCAUUGUUCAAGGAAUCGCAAUACGAACAAUUCCCAGAAUGUUUAGAAACCUUUAAACUAGUCGCAAAUUACCAAUCCAACAAGUUUGAUGAAAAAAUAUUACUUUUCACAACUACGUCCAUGUAUUCCCACGUGCAAGUCUGAACUUUAAGCGCCCUAAAAACCUUGCAAGGCAGAAUGCCGCUCCUUAUUGAGUAAAAUAAAAAAAUCAAAAGUU